CCGUGACAGCACCGGGCGGGCGGUGGCAGCGGCCCCCAGCACCCCCGCGGGGCCCUCGCCUCGCCGUGGCCUGGUGGCGGGCGGGGGUCGCGGGGCAGGCCCGGCCCGGGACAGGGCAGCCGGCGGGGCUGGGCGCUGCCCACCCUCAGGGCGCGGAGGGGCUCUGCGCCGCCGGCUCCCUCGGGGCGCGCGUGGGGGCCGGCCCCGAGCCCCGGCCGCGGUGCGGGGCUGCCGCUGCCCGCCCUGCGGUGCGGAGCUGCCCGAGCGGAGCAGCCGGGCGCGAUUUUGUUGUCAUUGUGUGCGGAGGGGAGAGGCGGGAAGCGCGCGUGGACGCGAGCUGACACUGCGCGGGCUGCGGCUCCUCUGAGGUGAUCCGGUCUGACAGCCCCCUCUGGGUAUCUCCAUAUAGUGUAUGGACAGCGCCAUGUGUUAGGGAACACUUCAACUUCAUCUUCAGAGACUUUUCAUAUGUAGCCUUCUACUGAAGUCAAUGGGCGUGGAGCGGCCAAAUUUUUUGAGCACUAGAAGUGUUGUUAGUGAACCUGUGUACAGCUCCUGGUCCCACUGCCUGCAUUUGAUGUCUACAUCCAUUCCACCCGUGCACAGUCCUGGAAGGACUCAGCUUCCACUGAAGAGCUGACAAGGUCACACUUCAUAUUAGGUUUGUUUUAAGCAGUGCUUUGAAGUAUUUGAGCAUCCUUCUGUUUAAUUUCCUUCUUUGACACCAUGUAAUACUGUUUUUCAUAUAUAUAUAUGCUGCUACUGCUGUUCAGUCCUGUGUGUUUCUCCCCUGCCCUGCAUUUGAUACAGAAACUCCUCGAGAUCAAAGCUUUACAGGAGAGAUGACUGUCAGCUGAAGUCUCUGCACAUGGAUGCCCUGACAGUAAAGCUGUCCAUCUUUAGUAGCUUUUGUUUUUCACCAGAUGGGCUGUGCUCUAGAGUUCUCAUACUAUUAGACUUCUUUGUACUUUUUAUGUCUGUGUGGGCUAAUGCGUUUCUUUAGAUCCGAAUCCAACAUCAAAGUAACAUUGGUUUAAUACAAUGUUUUUUAUAUCACCUUUUUCCUCCAAGUUGGAUUUUAUUUUCAGCUUUGACCCUAGUAUUUGUUCCUUCAUAAUUUGGGGCUUUUUGCUUGCUCUUCACAUUUAAAAAAAAAAAAACAAAAAAAAACCAAACAAAGCAAAACCAUAAAACUCUGUUUUGCUUAGCUCAUCCAGUAUUUCCAUUUGGCUCAGAAGAUGUGGAUUUGUGAGCUGAGGGAAUCCUCAUUUGGCUCAUCACCUAAGCUUUCUUCAAGAGCAUUAGAAGGAUCUACAGCUUAAGUUCAUCAGAGGGCUGACCUGCUCUAGUUUUAAUGAGAUUUAUUAUACAUGUACCUUUUGGAUUCUAUGGUCUUGAUCUUCAAAACAAUCUGUACAAACCUGUUAGUAAAAGCAAAACUGUUGACAUAAAACUCACUCUUUAUACUGAAUCUUCCCUGUGUCAAGAUUACUGAUUUUUGACAUUAAAAUUAAAUUCUUUGUGCCAUU
Long non-coding RNA from Falco peregrinus (peregrine falcon), 1529 nucleotides. RefSeq lists it as uncharacterized. The transcript is spliced from 3 exons. Lineage: Eukaryota; Metazoa; Chordata; Aves; Falconiformes; Falconidae. The record is from RefSeq and is a predicted model, not a curated record.